GGGGGCGUGGCUUAGCGGUAGAGCGCUUGCCUAGGCCACAGGGGGCGCUGGGUUCCAUCCCCAGCACCACCU
RNAcentral lists this transfer RNA (72 nucleotides) under Heterocephalus glaber (naked mole-rat). It matches the Rfam family "tRNA". From Rfam's summary of the family: Transfer RNA (tRNA) molecules are approximately 80 nucleotides in length. Their secondary structure includes four short double-helical elements and three loops (D, anti-codon, and T loops). The record is from Rfam by way of RNAcentral. Lineage: Eukaryota; Metazoa; Chordata; Mammalia; Rodentia; Bathyergidae.